UACAGAGGUCCCGAGCGUUGUUCGGAUUUAUUGGGCGUAAAGGGUGCGUAGGCGGCGGAGUAAGUUGGGUGUGAAAUCCCGAGGCUCAACCUCGGAAUUGCAUUCAAUACUGCUUCGCUCGAGUACUGGAGAGGAGGCUGGAAUUUACGGUGUAGCAGUGAAAUGCGUAGAUAUCGUAAGGAAGGCCGGUGGCGAACGCGAGCCUCUGGACAGUUACUGACGCUGAUGCCCGAAGGCCAGGGGAGCAAACGGG
This 253-nucleotide ribosomal RNA is filed under the name uncultured bacterium. Its description in RNAcentral is "partial 16S ribosomal RNA". It matches the Rfam family "Bacterial small subunit ribosomal RNA", at positions 524 to 776 of the family's 1533-position model. The record is from RNAcentral.